Molecule: small RNA, 702 nt
Filed under: Pongo abelii (Sumatran orangutan)
Lineage: Eukaryota; Metazoa; Chordata; Mammalia; Primates; Hominidae
Description: retained intron
Source: RNAcentral
CAAGAAAAAUCAGAGUAAAAAUCAGUUACUCUUUCUAGACAUUAAUUAGCACAUUUACGUUAAGACUCUUAAGUAGUAUAAAAUGUAAAUUGCUGCUACCCUACUAAGUUACUGUUAGUAAAUACUGUGUCCAGUAAAUGUUGAGUAUGGAUUAAUUGAAGGAUACCUCUACAAUUAUUUCCUUUAGUCAAGUUAGCUAAGAAUUGGGCUUCUGACAGACAUUGUUUUUAUUUUUUUUGUAUUGGGUUUUAUAGCUCUAAACCUAAUUUCUAACAUAUUUGUACACCUGAAAUCUACAUUCUAAUAUAAAGGUUUUUUAAAUAAUUUUCUUAAAAAUUUCAGGCCAUCAGCAAGCAGUUUAUUGUCCCAUGUUUUCUUCAAACAGAUGAAAGAAGAAAGCCAGGAUUCAAUACUUUCACUGUUGCCUCCUGCUUAUAACAAGCCAUCAAUAUCAUUGCCUCCAGUGUUACCUUGGACUGAGCCAGAAUGUGAUUUUCCUGAUGAAAAAGACUCAUACUGGGAAUUCUAGGGCUGCCAAAUCAUUUUAUGUCCUAUAUACUUGACACUUUCUCCUUGCUGCUUUUUCUUCUGUAUUUCUAGGUACAAAUACCAGAAUUAUACUUGAAAAUACAGUUGGUGCACUGGAGAAUCUAUUAUUUAAAACCACUCUGUUCAAAGGGGCACCAGUUUGUAGUCCCUCUG